RNAcentral lists this ribosomal RNA (74 nucleotides) under Bacillus anthracis (anthrax bacterium). RNAcentral describes it as "partial 16S ribosomal RNA". It matches the Rfam family "Bacterial small subunit ribosomal RNA", at positions 1 to 74 of the family's 1533-position model. The record is from RNAcentral. RNAcentral also lists the same sequence under 6 other names. Lineage: Bacteria; Bacillati; Bacillota; Bacilli; Caryophanales; Bacillaceae.
UUAUUGGAGAGUUUGAUCCUGGCUCAGGAUGAACGCUGGCGGCGUGCCUAAUACAUGCAAGUCGAGCGAAUGGA